CAAGUCUUUAUGUUCGAGCCAGACUAGCUGCAUCUUAGCCUCAUCUAGUUCAUCUUUGAAGAGUAUGGUUCCAGAUCAGGUGGCUGACCCUGCAGAUUUGUUGGAUGCUCCAGAAAAGAUGGAUACAGCUUCUUAUCAUGAGGAGCACAAGGCAUCUGAAGAUGUAAAGUCGGUGAUCCACAAGGAUCUUCUAGAUGAAGAUACAGCUUCCUCUCAUGAGGAGGAGCACAAGGCAUCUGAAGAUGUAAAGUCGGUGAUCCAUGACAAAGAUCUUCUAGAUGAUGAAUGGGAAAUGUGUGACAACCGGGAGUUAUGUAUGUGAAUCAAGUGGUAUAUGUCGUAACUAUAUAGAAAAACCAUUGACUGCUUGCUUUAGUUCCAAAUCUCUCAUCUAUUAAAUAAGUUUCUUGGUAGAAACUUUUUUGAAUUCCAGUUUGUUAUGCCAUUUUGUAAUGGUGGCUGAGAGCUAUUUCAAACCUGAAGUAUCUCAUCUCGAUUUUGAAGUAUAUGUACAGAACAAGUAUAUACUAACAGCUUAUAUAUAGAGAAGUACAUCAUGUUUUUAGUCAAGUUUAGCUUUAUGGUUUCAGCUUGAAAGUGUUGUAGCCUAUUUGUCAGGAAUGCAGGGCUAUGAGUCAAUUUAUAAAUUUUCACAUACUAUACAUACUGUUUUUCUUUAUAAAUUUAUAAAUUUUCACAUA
This 701-nucleotide long non-coding RNA is filed under the name Nicotiana benthamiana. RNAcentral describes it as "long non-coding RNA (NBEN_LNC025015)". Lineage: Eukaryota; Viridiplantae; Streptophyta; Magnoliopsida; Solanales; Solanaceae. The record is from RNAcentral.